RNAcentral lists this ribosomal RNA (333 nucleotides) under uncultured Bacillota bacterium. RNAcentral's name for it is "bacterial SSU rRNA". It matches the Rfam family "Bacterial small subunit ribosomal RNA", at positions 28 to 351 of the family's 1533-position model. Lineage: Bacteria; Bacillati; Bacillota. The record is from RNAcentral.
GACGAACGCUGGCGGCGUGCCUAAUACAUGCAAGUCGAGCGGAGUUACAGGAGCUUGCUCCUGUAACUUAGCGGCGGACGGGUGAGUAACACGUGGGCAACCUGCCUAUAAGACUGGGAUAACUUCGGGAAACCGGAGCUAAUACCGGAUAAUUCUUUUCCUCUCAUGAGGAAAAGCUGAAAGACGGUUUCGGCUGUCACUUAUAGAUGGGCCCGCGGCGCAUUAGCUAGUUGGUGAGGUAACGGCUCACCAAGGCAACGAUGCGUAGCCGACCUGAGAGGGUGAUCGGCCACACUGGGACUGAGACACGGCCCAGACUCCUACGGGAGGCUG